AUUAAUACCGCAUACGCCCUGAGGGGGAAAGUGGGGGACCGUAAGGCCUCACGUUAUACGAGCAGCCGAUGUCUGAUUAGCUGGUUGGUGGGGUAAAGGCUCACCAAGGCAACGAUCAGUAGCGGGUCUGAGAGGAUGAUCCGCCACACUGGGACUGAGACGCGGCCCAGACUCCUACGGGAGGCAGCAGUGGGGAAUUUUGGACAAUGGGCGCAAGCCUGAUCCAGCCAUGCCGCGUGUCUGAUUAUUGUUUCGGGUUGUAAAGGACUUUUGUCCGGGAGCAAAUCCCAGUGGUUAAUACCUACUGGGGCUGAGAGUACCGGAAGAAUAAGCACCGGCUAAAUACAUGACAACAAACGCGGUAAUACGUAGGGUGCAAGCGUUAAUCGGAAUUACUGGGCGUAAAGCGUGCGCAGGCGGUUGCGCAAGUCUGAUGUGAAAGCCCCGGGCUUAACCUGGGAACGGCAUUGGAGACUGCACGACUAGAGUGCGUCAGAGGGGGGUAGAAUUCCGCGUGUAGCAGUGAAAUG
Molecule: ribosomal RNA, 530 nt
Filed under: uncultured bacterium
Lineage: Bacteria
Description: bacterial SSU rRNA
Rfam family: Bacterial small subunit ribosomal RNA
Source: RNAcentral